RNAcentral lists this ribosomal RNA (1160 nucleotides) under uncultured organism. Its description in RNAcentral is "bacterial SSU rRNA". It matches the Rfam family "Bacterial small subunit ribosomal RNA", at positions 243 to 1433 of the family's 1533-position model. The record is from RNAcentral.
AGCUAGUUGGAGAGGUAACGGCUCCCCAAGGCAAUGACGGGUAGGGGGUGUGAGAGCAUGGCCCCCCACACUGGGACUGAGACACGGCCCAGACUCCUGCGGGAGGCAGCAGCAGGGAAUAUUGCGCAAUGGACGGAAGUCUGACGCAGCGACGCCGCGUGGAUGACGAAGGCCUUCGGGUUGUAAAAUCCUUUUCCGGGCGAUGAGGAAGGACACUAGCCUGGGAAUAAGCGUCGGCUAACUACGUGCCAGCAGCCGCGGUAAGACGUAGGACGCGAGCGUUAUCCGGAUUUACUGGGCGUAAAGCGCCUGCAGGCGGUCAGGUAAGUCGGUUGUGAAAGCCCCGUGCUCAACGCGGGGAGGCCAAGCGAUACUGCGUGACUUGAGGGCGGAAGAGGGGAGUGGAAUUCCCGGUGUAGCGGUAAAAUGCGCAGAUAUCGGGAGGAACACCAGUGGCGAAGGCGGCUCCCUGGACCGCACCUGACGCUCAGAGGCGAAAGCUAGGGGAGCGAACAGGAUUAGAGACCCUGGUAGUCCUAGCCCUAAACGCUGGAUGCUAGGUGUAGGGCUGAUGAGGCUCUGUGCCGGAGCGAACGCGAUAAGCAUCCCGCCUGGGAACUACGGCCGCAAGGCUAAAACUCAAACGAAUUGACGGGGACCCGCACAAGCAGCGGAGCGUGUGGUUUAAUUCGAUGCUACACGAAGAACCUUACCCGGGUUUGACAUGUUGGUGGUACCGAACCGAAAGGGGAGGGACCCUUCGGGGAGCCAACACAGGUGCUGCAUGGCUGUCGUCAGCUCGUGCCGUGAGGUGUCGGGUUAAGUCCCGUAACGAGCGCAACCCUUGCUCUUAGUUAUACGUGUCUAAGGGGACUGCCGGCGACAAGCCGGAGGAAGCUGGGGAUGACGUCAAGUCAGCAUGGCCUUGAUAUCCAGGGCUACACACACGCUACAAUGGCCGGUACAAAGGGCAGCCAAGCCGCGAGGUGGAGCGAAUCCCAGCAAAGCCGGUCCCAGUUCGGAUUGCAGGCUGCAACCCGCAUGCAUGAAGUUGGAGUUGAUAGUAACCGCGCGUCAGCCAUAGUCCGGUGAAUACGUACCCGGGUCUUGUACACACCGCCCGUCACGUCAUGGGAGUUGGCAACGCCUGACAGCGGUAG